This 293-nucleotide ribosomal RNA is filed under the name uncultured bacterium. Its description in RNAcentral is "partial 16S ribosomal RNA". The record is from RNAcentral.
GGACUACUGGGGUAUCUAAUCCUGUUCGCUCCCCACGCUUUCGCUCCUCAGCGUCAGUACCGGCCCAGAGUGCCGCCUUCGCCACUGGUGUUCCUCCUGAUAUCUGCGCAUUUCACCGCUACACCAGGAAUUCCGCACUCCCCUACCGGACUCGAGUCAUGGCAGUAUCGAGUGGCCUCUCCGAGUUGAGCUCGGAGUUUUCACACCCGACUUGCCAAACCGCCUACGAGCUCUUUACGCCCAAUAAAUCCGGACAACGCUCGCCCCCUACGUAUUACCGCGGCUGCUGGCAC